UGUAUGGACGGGAUAAGUGCUGAAAGCAUCUAAGCAUGAAGCCCCCCUUAAGAUGAGAUUUCCCAACUUCGGUUAUAAGAUCCCUCAGAGAUGAUGAGGUUAAUAGGUUCGAGGUGGAAGCGUGGUGACACGUGGAGCUGACGAAUACUAAUCGAUCGAAGACUUAAUCAAUUU
RNAcentral lists this ribosomal RNA (174 nucleotides) under Clostridium perfringens. RNAcentral describes it as "partial 23S ribosomal RNA". It matches the Rfam family "Bacterial large subunit ribosomal RNA", at positions 2752 to 2925 of the family's 2925-position model. Lineage: Bacteria; Bacillati; Bacillota; Clostridia; Eubacteriales; Clostridiaceae. The record is from RNAcentral.